This 285-nucleotide long non-coding RNA is filed under the name Phoenix dactylifera (date palm). Its description in RNAcentral is "long non-coding RNA (PDAC_LNC013066)". The record is from RNAcentral. Lineage: Eukaryota; Viridiplantae; Streptophyta; Magnoliopsida; Arecales; Arecaceae.
UUGGAUAUAUUAAAUUACCAGACAUAUGAAUUUAUUUAUGGAUUUUAUUUCCUUGUUUAUUGAGCAAUUCACUUUACAUAUACUCAAAGUUUUGUCAUCAUCAAAAAGGGGGAGAUUGUGGAGUGAUUCAUUAAAACCCUAUUUGAUUUUGAUGAGCUCAAAGCAUUAGAGUAUAUAUGUUGUUUACUAAUGAAUUCAAUUGAGUGUUUCAGUGAAAAUCUUGUCUAAGUGUCUCAAGACUUGGUUCAUAAUAUUUUGGAUAAGUUAAGAAGUCAGUUUGAACCA